RNAcentral lists this ribosomal RNA (701 nucleotides) under uncultured bacterium. Its description in RNAcentral is "bacterial SSU rRNA". It matches the Rfam family "Bacterial small subunit ribosomal RNA", at positions 57 to 760 of the family's 1533-position model. The record is from RNAcentral.
GCAGUCGAGGGGUAGAGCACUUCGGUGCUUGAGACCGGCGCACGGGUGCGUAACGCGUAUGCAAUCUGCCUUUCACAGAGGGAUAGCCCAGAGAAAUUUGGAUUAAUACCUCAUAGUAUUACGACUCGGCAUCGAGAUGUAAUUAAAGUCACAACGGUGAAAGAUUAGCAUGCGUCCCAUUAGCUAGUUGGUAAGGUAACGGCUUACCAAGGCAACGAUGGGUAGGGGUCCUGAGAGGGAGAUCCCCCACACUGGUACUGAGACACGGACCAGACUCCUACGGGAGGCAGCAGUGAGGAAUAUUGGACAAUGGGCGCAAGCCUGAUCCAGCCAUGCCGCGUGCAGGAUGACGGUCCUAUGGAUUGUAAACUGCUUUUGUACGAGAAGAAACAUCCCGACGUGUCGGGACUUGACGGUAUCGUAAGAAUAAGGAUCGGCUAACUCCGUGCCAGCAGCCGCGGUAAUACGGAGGAUCCAAGCGUUAUCCGGAAUCAUUGGGUUUAAAGGGUCCGUAGGCGGUUUAGUAAGUCAGUGGUGAAAGCCCAUCGCUCAACGGUGGAACGGCCAUUGAUACUGCUGAACUUGAAUUACUGGGAAGUAACUAGAAUAUGUAGUGUAGCGGUGAAAUGCUUAGAUAUUACAUGGAAUACCAAUUGCGAAGGCAGGUUACUACCAGUUGAUUGACGCUGAUGGACGAAAGC